This 1299-nucleotide long non-coding RNA is filed under the name Homo sapiens (human). Its description in RNAcentral is "PREDICTED lncRNA (TCONS_00182859)". Lineage: Eukaryota; Metazoa; Chordata; Mammalia; Primates; Hominidae. The record is from RNAcentral.
GCCGGGGCGUCCCCCGCGGGAGCCCGCAGCCACCCGGGACGCGCAUCCAGACGUGGCGCUUCGGACCGGGCACGCUGCGCCCGGGGGCUCGGCGGACCCCGCGUAGCCGCCGCUUCGGAGCUUGUGCGGCGCGGGCUGGCCAGCGGGGCGGCCAGGGCCCGGCCCGCCUCCCCAGCGCCCGCCCGGCUUCUCCCCCUGGCGGUGGGAGCCUCGGCGGCCGCUGGCGACACUAGGCGCACUGAAGCCCGAGCCGAGCCGAGCCCGAGCCGCCGCCGCCGCCGCCGCUGCUGCGCACCGCUCCCGGGCUCCCUCCCAGCGCGCCGGCCGGGGUGUGGGGGGCGGCGGGCCGGAGGGGCGAGGGCGGGCCAGGGGGCGCACACGGGGGUUGGCGCGGAAGACAGGACCCUCAGCCUCGAGGGAGCCCCUAGGUGACCAGGCAAAAUGGCAGUUCCUUCCAGCUGGUCCUCAGAUGGGCACAUCUAUUAGCCUCUGCUCUUGUAAGAAGUUAGCUGCAGAACCCACAUGUGAAUCCUUGUAGGACUCUGGAGAAGAUCAAAUGGGAGCUUAGAUGUGGAAGCUCUUUGGAAACCAAGAAACACUCUGAAAAUGAAAAGGGAAGCAGAAGUUCUCCUUAGCUGAUUUUUCUUCUUGCCUUAUACUGGGUUCUUUAACACCAGAACAAAAAUAAAUAAAUAAAAGAAUCUUCCAGAAAUUCAUGAAGAGACUUCAGGUCAGGAAAGCCUGAACUUUCUCAUCCAACACCCGUUCAAGUCGGAGGAUGCUGAUUAAUUCAUGAUGGAAAGGAGACCUCUGUGGAUUCUAUAACUCAAAGACCCAGGCUGACGGCUGGUGGAAUAGCUACCAUCUCAAACAUGGCGUGAUGCUGCAUCAGAGAGAAAAAUAAGCUCUUGCAUUGACAAUGAAAUGUCUACCCUGUAGUGACUUGUGCUUACUUCCACUCACAAGUGAUUGCCCAGAGCUACUUACCUGGCUCCAAUCUACCACUGGUGCCAUGACACCCAGGAUGCAGCUGUAGGAACACCACUGGGUCCCUGGAUGUCAUGUAAGCCCUUAAGUAAAAGUGCCAUCAAAUGAUUUCUCAGAAAUUAUAAAGAAACAAAAGGACCAUAAACAAGAUAAGGUGGCAUGAGGAAACAUUACAAGUACCUUUCAGAGCUGACUGGCAAAGAAACUCCUGAGGUGACGGUUCUACCCCAAUAUUACUUCUUCGAAGAGCAACCUAACUCUUAGGUGGCCUAGAGGGGCAAGACUGGUGUGGCAAAUUGGGAUCAGCAGUGU